This 90-nucleotide transfer RNA is filed under the name Maioricimonas rarisocia. RNAcentral's name for it is "Planctomycetes bacterium Mal4 tRNA-Ser". It matches the Rfam family "tRNA". Rfam says of the family: Transfer RNA (tRNA) molecules are approximately 80 nucleotides in length. The record is from RNAcentral. Lineage: Bacteria; Pseudomonadati; Planctomycetota; Planctomycetia; Planctomycetales; Planctomycetaceae.
GGAGAGAUGGCAGAGUGGCCGAAUGCGCAGCAUUGCUAAUGCUGUGACCCCUUAACGGGGGUCCGCGGGUUCGAAUCCCGCUCUCUCCGC